GAUGAAGAACGUAGUGAAAUGCGAUAAGUAGUGUGAAUUGCAGAAUUCAGUGAAUCAUCGAAUCUUUGAACGCACAUUGCGCCCGCUGGUACUCCGGCGGGCACGCCUGUCCGAGCGUCAUUUCAACCCUCAAGCCCUCCUUCGGGAUGGGCCUGGUGUUGGGGCUCGGCCGCCAUCUCCGGCGGCCGUCCCCUAAAUACAGUGGCGGUCACGUCGCGACUCCUUUGCGUAGUAGAAACACCUCGCUCCGGAUAGCAACGCGGUCCACGCCGUAAAACCCCCAAUUUUUAAUGGUUGACCUCGGAUCAGGUGGGAAUACCCGCUGAACUUAAGCAUAUCAAUAAGCGGAGGA
This 352-nucleotide unclassified non-coding RNA is filed under the name soil metagenome. RNAcentral describes it as "partial contains 5.8S ribosomal RNA, internal transcribed spacer 2, and large subunit ribosomal RNA". The stretch from base 1 to 120 matches the Rfam family "5.8S ribosomal RNA", at positions 35 to 154 of the family's 154-position model. The record is from RNAcentral.